Molecule: long non-coding RNA, 30202 nt
Filed under: Solanum tuberosum (potato)
Lineage: Eukaryota; Viridiplantae; Streptophyta; Magnoliopsida; Solanales; Solanaceae
Description: long non-coding RNA (STUB_LNC004916)
Source: RNAcentral
GCUUUUUUUUUUUUUAAAAGGAGGAGAUUUAGAGAACUUCUAGUUUUAAAGAAUUUUCUAAUUUAUUUAAAUGGCAAUUAUUUAGUAUUGGAAUGAAAUAAGCCGAAUAAAAUGGAAUUGAAGGAUUUUUAUGGUCGACCCAAUUAUUCUGCGAUCAAGGCAUAGUUGAUUGAUUUUUCAGGGAUCGAUGUGCUUUUCUUGUAGAUUCUCCACGAACUUGGUAAGUCAGAAUAAGUGCCUGAUAUUGCAUCCUUAUACUGCUUCUGGUGUCUGACGUCUCUUGUCAAAAUUAAAAGAAAGGAAGGAAAAAGAAAGAAGAGUUCAGAAGUAGAACUAAGGUUUUUUAACAUCAUUUCUUUGACAGUAUGAAAAAGAAAGUUAAAGAGUAUUUUAUCUGGUCUUGAGAUGUCUCUGUUAAACCAGUACUUCUUCUACACUCUAUAAUUGAAACCAGUACUCUCUACACUUUCCAAUUGAAACCAGUACUUUCUAGACUCUUUAAUUGAUCUUAACGGUAUUUUCUUCCAGGGUAUACUCACAAAUGAAACGAAGUGCUUGCGUUGUGAGACUGUAACUGCACGAGAUGAGACAUUUCUUGAUUUGAGCCUCGACAUUGAACAGAACAGUUCAAUAACUAGCUGCCUGAAGAACUUUAGUUCCACAGAGACUUUGAAUGCAGAGGAUAAAUUCUUCUGUGACAAGUGUUGCAGGUAUAAUGUGUUUUUUGCUUUCUUGUUGGAUAAUUACAAAGAACACUCCUUUAAGGCAUAUGCCUCUUUGACGUAGCUGCAGCAAACUAACAUGAUUCGUCUCUUUGCUGUUUUCUCUCUAGCAAAUUAACUAAUUCACCAUUUUUUGAGAACUUAGCUUGCAGGAAGCUCAGAAGAGGAUGAAGAUUAAAAAGCCCCCUCACAUCCUAGUUAUCCAUUUGAAGCGAUUUAAGUACAUUGAACAGCUUGGUCGGUAUAAGAAGCUCUCAUACCGCGUUGUCUUCCCACUUGAGCUGAAGCUGAGCAAUACAGUUGAGGAUGCAGACGCUGAGUAUUCCUUAUUCGCUGUGGUAGUCCAUGUUGGGAGUGGACCAAACCACGGACACUACGUCAGCCUUGUGAAGAGUCACAACCACUGGUUGUUCUUUGAUGAUGAGAAUGUUGAGAUGAUUGAUGAGUCAGCUGUUCAAACAUUUUUUGGGUCAGCUCAAGAGUAUUCCAGCAAUACAGACCACGGGUACAUCUUAUUUUACGAGAGAGUCUCCAAUGGAAGCACUAGUUAGUAGCUUAAUGAGUUUAGUUUAUUUUGUUUCCAAUUUUGAACUCAAUUUCUACCUCUAGUGAUCAAUUUUAUCAUUUGCUACAACAUUCCUUUGUAGUUUCUUCAGAAAUUUUCUAGUGAGUUGACAUGAAAUGUGAAGAAUACAUAUCUAGGUUGUUGCCUUGUACAGUGGAUGGUAAAAGCUAUACCAUCUAUUUUUCCAACAAUAAAAGGGGAAAAAAGAUAUGUAGUGUAUGUGAUGCUUGAGUUUAGUAGGAUUUAUUCUUCAGUUUAUGGAGUGCUAAUCUACUUUUGUGAUCCAUUCUGAUUUAGAAUAUUGACCUUUUCUUUCUUAUGCACAAUAUGUUGAAGUCAAAAAAGCUUACAGUUUGCCGUUUUCAACUUUAUGUCAAAAGAUGAAACUGUAAACAACCUUUUCUCAAACUCCGCAUAUAGCAAAGGCUUAGUGCAUCGGACUAUUUUUAUCAAAAGAUUUAGGUUCCCCUUAUGGUGGCAUAAACUUUUUUUCCAAAUUUACGACACUACAUUUCUCCAGGUCAGAACUCAAAAUGAAGUUCAUAGGAUUUCUUGGUCCUAAAAAUUGCAGUCUGCAACAAGUACUAGUCUCGACACAAACAAGAAGGGUGGAGGAAACCUAUACAAGAUCAACAGAUAUUGCAUUUACUUUGCAUGCAAGUUAAGAAUAUUUUCAAACGUAGAAGCACUGGUUGAAAUAUGAAACCAUUCCUCAUAUUUCCUUGAAAUAAGUUUAAUCUAUUUUUUAAAUAGUAAAACAUUACUAUGUUUUUUUCUUAGACCUAUCGAUUGAGGAGUGCUUGUUAUCAUAUAUGUGGUGCCUUAGUAGCCCACACUUCGAAUUGAAGCUCCCCUAUAAUUCAGGUUGGAUGCCUGGAUCCUCAGCCCGCUGGGACUUAGGAUUCGAAGACCAAGUCAGAGAUUACGAGCAACUCUCAAGGAGGACGUUGAGACUCUGCCAACCAGCAUGACUACAUGCUUAACAAAAUUUCAAAAUCUCUAUUCUAAAACAAUAAAUCGCUAUUUAAAAGAAUCAUGCAGCAGAACCAGUCACAAAUUUGUAUACCUAAGCCAAAAAAAAUCUACUACACCAUUUCCUUCACAAAAAACACGCCUUCACAUGUACGUUACAGCUCUCUAAGAUAUGCAAAAUAUGUUGAAUAAGCCCACAAUUUCUUACAAUUGAUAUUGAUUUUCUUUGAUGCCGUCUAGCCAGAUUUUCUAUAUUGCAUACACAGGACAGACUCUAUUGCUGCCAACCAUAUUGCUGGUUACGGUUUCCACUCAUCUGGUUAGAACCUCUCCCUGCACCAGAACCUCCAUAUUGACCACUUUGGGAGUAAUUAGGAGGACCACCAUAUCCACCACUCGGUCCCCGGGGACCACUGGGAGCCAACCCACUGCCAGGAAAAGGUGGGGCUCGUCCCUGAGGUGGAUAUGCCCCACUACUAUAACCUCCACCCUGUGCCCCACGAUCUUGAUAAUAUCCCCCGCCAGGGUUUCCACCUGGAGGAUAUCGAUUUGAUCCUCCAGUACCACGAGGCUUUCCAAACUGAUGAUGACCAGCCCCAGCAGAUGUUGCAGGCUGGGAAUUGCUCAUUUGAUGAGUAGAUCCACCCCAGUGCUGGGAAUGACCAGGCUGUUGGAUAGGAGGGAGGCGCGAAUGUUGCUGUGGGUGCUGCAGCUUGUGUCUUUUGGCCAUUUCUUCAUUCUGUCUCUGCUGUUGCCUCUUUUUCUUAGUCUGGAACUCAUGUGAUGAUUCGUAUUUAGGUAGGCUGUUCAAUACAGUGAGAAACAGGUUGUUAGGUUAAGAGAUAUAUAUGCAUACAUAUCAUAUUAAUCUCAGGAUAUGCUUUCAUUGAUGCUUAUAAAUCUAUAAAAAUCUCAAAUUAGUUGGAACAGGUGGUUAACUGUAAGCACAUUAGCCAAGAAGUUCCAGAUCCAUCGCAGGGAAUACAAUAAGCACAAACAGCACUGAGAAACGUUGAUGUAAAUAAGGUGCACACCUUCUAGGAUCACAAGGUAAGGGGUCGGUCCAGAAAUAUUCACCAUCUAGAGCAUCCUUUGCACAUAUUCUCUGCAAAAAAAGGUGUCAAUUAAAACCAGAAUUAGUAAAGAAGCAGAAACAUGCUUUACAAGUUGCAACCAAGCUUUAUGCAGUCAAACAGCUUAUUAUAAAACUUAGGGGUCGUUUGGUAGAGUGUAUCAGCAAAAAUAAUGCAUGCAUUAGCUUUGUGAAUUAGUAGUCCCUUGUUUGGUAUACUUUUUCAUGCUAUGUAUAACUAAACACUCUAUUGUGUAUUGAGGAGUGUAUUACUAAUACCAUGGAUUUCUAAGAAUUAGUAAUUGCAAAGAUAUUUAAUACAUGCAUUAGCAUGGUUAAAGACUCAACUACCCCUCAAAAGCACUUUUACAUCUUUUCUAUCAUAAUUGUGAAGGAUAUUUUUGUAAAUAAAUAUUUUUAUACAAUACAUACUAUUUUUAAUACACCAAAUCAAACAAUGCAUAAGAAAUAAUUUAUGCAUAACUACUGCAAAUAUAACUAAUACAACCAUUACUAAUGCAACCAUUGCUAACAGUCUAAUGUGCAUUAUUUUUAUACUCUCUACCAAACGACCCCUUAAAGUAGAGUUCAAAUGCCUUUGUAAGAAACACGAGAUAAUAAAAUUGUCAAAAAUCUGUAGUCCUUUUGAGUAAAAAUAUAGAUAAAUAAAACUAAUAGAUCUCCAAUCAGGUUUGCUCAGGAAAAAGCAUUAUCUAAAUUUUGAUGGCCUUAUUGGCGCAUACCACACUGGGUCUUCAACCUAAACUUUUUUCUUACUGUAGCAUAGGCUUUCGUCCCUUCGCCUAUAGAUGGCGGCUUGGCUUCGCUAUCGCUCAACCUAAAUCCAAAAUAGUUGGUGACCCUAUGAAUCUUUUGAUCCCGUUUUGUUCUAUUCUAAGUAUGCAUUGGUCAUGACGGAGAUGUAGGUUUUCCAGAUACCUUCCCUCAAUGUUAUCUCAUCCUUUUUUUAUCAUAUCUUAAUCGUCAUAUUGGUGCAUCUAUGGAGAUAAGUUUGUGUAGGACAUGGCCAAACCAUAUCAAGCAACCUUUCUUUUUAUCUUAAUGUGUGCCACAUGCACCACCUGUUGAAUAGGACACCCAUUUUAACAUCUGCUUUUUUAUGAUAUUUUAUCUAGUGAACUCAGUGUUUUGGACGGCGAGAGGCGACAAAAGGCGACAAGGGCCUGCCUCGCCACGCGGUGAGGCGAGCGGCGAGGCGCUCGCCUUUUUGAAUUGAGGCGCCAAUUAAGACAAAGAAUGUAAAAUAUUUAAUUGCAUAUAUAAAUAUCCAAAAUCUCAAUAACAAUAACAUUCAUUAGCAAUGUCCCUCUUUUUGUUAGCAUCUCACGUCAUUGAAUUCACUAUUUAUGGGCAAAUAAAUACUAUAUUAAUUAGUAUAAAACUAAAUUAAGUAGGGAAGAAAUAAUUAUAGAAGAAUCAAAUUAUUAUUUUUUUAAAUAUAGGCAGAUUCCAGCCCAGUGAGCAGAGCACUAGUCUACCACAGAAGUACAAAACCAAGCAUAGUCUCAAACUCUAAAUACUGAAAAACAGAGUAAUUCCACCCAAAAAAAAUAAAUAGAGUAGUUCCACCAAAAAAAAAAAAUAGAGUAGAGACUAGAUAGUAGAGAAGAAGAAGAAAAGAAGAGAAGAAAAGAAGAGAAGAACUAGAAGAGAAGAACUAGAGAUAAGAUUUCGUACCUGAGAAGGAGCAGCAGUUGCGAUUACAAUUCGCGAAGAAGAAGUCUCCACGAAGGAGCAGCAAUCGCGAAAUAGGAGGAGAAGAGGAGGAGCGUCUUGCGAAGGUCAAGUUGGCAAAAAUACCCAAAAAAAAACCCUAAUUUUGGCUUUUAUUUAUUAAGUCCGACCUUAAAAAAAAUUAAAAAAUAAAAAGGCGACGCCUAUUGCAUCGCCACACCACGUCAUCUUACGCCUUUCCGUCGCCAUGGCACGCCUUUCUGAAGUCGCCUCGCCUCGCCGGAAAAAGGCGAUGACCCCUCGCCUCGCCUUGUCGCCAAAGGCGAAAGGCGAGCGCCUUUCAUAACACUGAGUGGACUACGUGUUAGAAUCCCAAUAUUCACAAAAACAUAACGUCACUAGUCUCACACUCGUAGUAAAGAACUACUCUUUCACUACAGCUAUCUUCCUAGCACUCAAAACACCAUGUAACGUUAUUCCACUUCAAAAGCUCUCAAUUAGGGGUGUCAAAAUGAACCUAAAUAUAUGCAACCCGCCCAGAAUUUUAUGGGUUGGGCUCAAGGUAAUUUGGAUUGGGUUCAAUCUCAACUCAUUCAAGCAUUAACCCAUUUUAAAUGGAUCCUCAAUUGAGCCCAAUUUAAUCUCCAAUUUCAACCCGUUUUAAGACUCUUUAUUUGCAUUGAUGUAUGUUUCUAUAUAAAAAGUAUGAAUUACUAUCUAUUUUAUAUCUUCUAGGAUUUAUCUAUCCAUUUGUAACUUCUUCUUUUUUAUUUUUUUGAGUUGAAAUUCAAAUUGUGGUUAUAAGAAUUAAAUAAUAUGUAAAAAUUAUUAAGAUUAAGCAGGUCGAAUUGGGCGGAUCAUGACCCAACCCGAUUUUUAGCCCAUUUGAGCCCAAAGUAAACUUGGCGGGAUCAGAACCCAACCCAUUUUAAUAUCUCCAAUUUCAACUCAACCUACCCAUUUGACGCCUCUACUUCCAAUGCAUGUGAUCGAUACUUCCACUAGCUAAGCUAUAUCACACUUGAAUUUGUGCCAUUAGAGAAAUAGUAAACCAUCUAUGAUCUCUUUCUAUAAGCUUAUUUAGAAAAGAUAAUUGUAUUAUAACAGUAGCACUAAGGAAGUGUUGCAAUAUUUAUAGGCGAGCAAAACCCAACAGAAGAAUCCUCUCAAAGAGGUUGAGAGGAUUCUAAGAGGCUAUGUAUUUUGCUUCAUUCACAAAUUCCUCAUCGAGAAACAAAAUACAGGUAAACUUGAAUUGUUGGACCAAAUUAACUUUAUCUUCAAAACAUCAAUUGUUCAUUUCCUUCCAAACAAUCUAUCAUAUGGAUGUCGGGUGAUAUUACACCAUAAUGACCUCUUUCUGCCUCUAACAACCUGUGGUAGUUCUCGGCAAUGUUACUUGGACUCUCCAAUAUUGUUGUCGUACAUGUGCCAGGUUCUCUUAAAUGCACUACUUUUGGAGUAUCGGACAUGCACUCAUCGACAUUUUAGAAGAGUCUGAGCAACAUAGGUUCACAGUAUUCCCUAUUCUAGGCCUAUUAUGUUUUGGUAUGUGUUAUGCCUUUGUUGUCACUCUACAAUGAAUGAAAAGAUGGUUAAUACUUUCUACUUCUUCCCGCAAAUGUGGCACCUACUGCAUAAGAAAUGUCCCUUUUUCAGAAGAUUGUCAAGUCUCAGACAUGCAUUUCGGGUCCAUUAACCAAGAUAUGCAAGGCACUUCGAAUGAGACUAUUGAAUCCAAAUCAGAGACCACGGUCACUGACUCUGCUAAAGGCUUGUAACAAGAGUUUAACAAUGAAGACAUUUGACACUGUUCAGUCUCCCACAUCGGCUAAGGGGUGUCGGAUCCACACCUCGAGUUAGCUUUUGGAGAGUUAGGCCCAUGAUUCAUUUCCUUACACGGAAUCAGAGUCGGACUCAUCCCAAUUCUUUGUUUCGAAACAUCUGUAAUUCCUUUCAUACCCACAAGACUCAACGUAUGCAAGCUCGCACUAUUUUCCUCAAAUUAUUCAAUGGUUUUCUGAUGACGACAGGCCUAGCCAGUCAACAAAUCCUUCACCGUGUAUUGCAUUACAAAAGGCAUAAUGAACAAAUCAAAAACAGGUUCUAAAUCUGUCUAGCAACAGUGCAAUGCAAUAAAAUAUAAUGCAGUUCUCCUCCCUGCUACACAUAACAUUUACUACAUAUCAACAUCCCCCUUCCCUAUAUAGAUUGAAUUGGGUGAGGCACACAUCAUCUGAGACCAACCGUGUAAAGCAGGCAACCUUAUAAGAGGCCUUAGAUUUCCAUUUCUUAAAAGGCUGCCUAACUCUUUAUUUAAUCUCCUUGUGACAAUCAUCAUCCAAAAAAAAAAUCAUCUCCUUAUAACAUGAACCUAAAAAGAAUAUUUCAUUUGUUGCCUCUUCCAUAUGGUACAAUCAGCUUCUGCAUUUAGAGCCACAUGCUCCAAGUCUUUUAGCAAUGGCAUCAUUCAUGGUACUUCCCAAUCAAAGUAGAGUCUUCUAUAGUUUAUGCACCAGCUACCACAAUUCCAACAUAUGACACAACUUCCAUCUUCCUACAUUGGUUGUGAAAUUAUAAUGGUCAUCGUAUAAAAUCGAAAGUGGUGUAUGUCCUCUCCAAACAGAGCCUUGUAUUCCUGCCAUGACUAACCUUAAUCUCUAUACUGGUUCUAAAAGCUGGUGCCUGGUCUUAAGCUGCACAUAUGCUUCCAUACAAGCCAUGGGGUGUCUGAACUAUACCAAUAUACCAAAGACUUUGUUCUCCAGAUUUAGCAACAAUUAUACUUUUUGCAUAAAAUGAUAAAAUCUCCAUAGCCAUUUCAUUAUUAUACUACUGUUAUGUUCUUUCAAGUUUCUCAUUCCAAGUCCUCCCUUUCUUUUAUCCAGCAUCACCACCUCCCACUUCACCACUGAAAAGUCCUCUUUUUUGUUUACAUUACACCAAGUUCCUCCUAACCUUAUCCAAUUUUUUCUUCAUACAGACUGGGUAAGUCGAAAGAGAGUGAGUACACUGCUAAUGAGUAUGAUCCUAGCCCGAGAGAAAUGUACAGCCUUUUCAGGUUGUAAAUCUCUUCUCAGUUUUCAAACCUCUUCGCAAUCUUUUCCAACACUGUUUUUGCCUUGUAUAGCUGGUACCUAAAGAGGCAUGCCCAGGUAAUUUGAGGGAAGCUCUUAACAACCCAAAGUAUCACCCAACCUUAGUAAAUCAUGCACUUCAUUAACCCGCAUGCCCUAAUUAUGGAAGGGUAUGCCAACACUAUUAAUUGCACAGCUUAAAACACCAACUCACCAUUCAUUCAUUUCAAUCUUAUAGAUGAUCAACCUGCCCAUUUCAUUUUCCAAAAUUUUUUACUCUUAGAGGUCUUGGCGUAUAUCAAAUUAGGAAAAAAAUAAUAGCAAAUGUGUACUCCCUCCCCGUCCCAAUCUAUGUGGCACCCUUUAACUUGACACAAACUUCAAGACAAAAAGGAGAACUUCUGAAAUUUGUGGUCUAAAACAAACCUUAGACAUUCAUGUGGCUAUAAAUCAUUUCAUUAAGGGUUAAGAGAGAAAUUUGAAAGUUAAGUUGUCUCUAAUUAUAGAAAGGUGACAUUCUUUUUGGGACAAACUAAAAAGGAAAGGGUACCACAUAAAUUGGGACGUUCAUACAUUUUGUCCGAUCAAAAUGCAUCACAUCAUAUGGGUGGGAAUAAGAACGUUGGUUAAAGUAAGGCGACUGUUUUACUAUUAUGUUCUACUCUAAUCAUUACGGAAACUAACAAACAUACGACCAAUGUCCCUCUACAAAUUCUGAUAACACCAGACAAUGGUAAAUCCAUUGAAAAUACAAAUUGCAGCAGUAAUAAACAAUCUACAUACUAAGAAUAGUCACACACUAAUGAACCAAGUGAGUGCCUUUGGACAGAAAGGAACUCCUAAGGAGAGUACAUAUUGCCUUCAUAAAUAAAUUCAGAUGCCAGUAAAACCUAUAUUCUUGAGGCAAAAGAGAGUUUGAUCCUUGUCUUCUUUUUGUACUCAAACGACUUCUGAUUAUGGAACAAAGGAAAACUUUGCACUUCGAGAUUUAGUUACUAAAACCACAUUAAGGGGAAUACCUGAGAUGGGUCAAGAUUCAGCAUUUUGUCUAAUAAAUCCAAAGCAUGGCGAUCAAAACUGCACAAUGAAUAAAAAUCAAGUAUGUUAGCCAUUGUACAAAACAAGUAGUUCAAACUACUCAUAUUUCAAAUGGAGAACCCUUAACUGCCUAAAGACCUCUCUAACUCGUCUUUUCAUUGGCCUUGCUGGCUUGAACUUGCUGUACCAAGGAAUCUUUGAUACACCAGGCCAGUUAAUCUCAUCAGGGGUUCCACAAAGCUCAAAUAUUUUGUUCAAUUGUUCAGGCUGUAAUCAGAAAAGAUUAAGAGAGAUAAAGCCAACUGAAAUCAUAAAAUUGUACUAAAAAUAGAGCAUAAAGAUGAAGCAGAAGUAAAAACACAGAAAAAAGUAGUAGAGAGAGCUCACAUCAAAAGAAACACACUAAGAGCAUGUUUGACUAAGCUCUUGUAAAAUUUUGCUUGUCAUCAUAAAAUGGAGAUUAUUAGUCACGAACCUAGCUAACAAGAUCAAAUAAAAGAAACUAAGAAAAUCUUUCCUCUUCAGAUUUUAUUCAAUCAAUUGUUAGAUCAGGUUCGAAUAAGUUGUUUUCUAAUCCAAAAGCUUCAUUGUUAUCAGCAUAUCAGACAGAGAAAUGGUAUAGCAAACUAUCUAACAUAAGUAUAAGAUACUCUCAAGAAAAGAAGCAAUAGCACAUUAGCAGAGAUUCCUUAGGACACUAGCAGCAGGUAUACUUGUAAAGCGAAGCUACUGACACCUACAGCACCUAGAGAAGCAAGAAAAAAGUUUAAAAGGAUAUUACCUCAUUUUUCCCAGGUAAGAUUGGCUUUCCAAAUAAAAGUUCAGCAAAUAUACAACCAACGGACCACAUGUCAACAGCGGGUCCAUACUUUGUGGCUCCAAGCAACAAUUCUGGAGGUCUGUCCAAGAUUAUCGUAUAUUUAGUCUAGAAAGAGCAGAAAAACCUCAGAGUGAAACAAGCAAAGUAAUAAGAAGAAUGCUUUAACAUGCUUUAGAUUUACCUGUACCACAGUGUAAUAACACGAUUUGUCAGAUUAGCAUUAUGAUCACCAGAAAAUGAGCGGGCUAAACCAAAAUCAGCAAGCUUCAGAUUUCCUUCAUUAUCUAUCAGAAGAUUAGAGCCUGCUAACAUAAAAAUGAAAAAAAAACAAAUGUGUCACGAGCUUCCAGGAACACUUGCAAAUAUCAACAUGUUACAUACAGAGAAUUAAGUACAAAGUAACCUUUGAUAUCUCUGUGAAGAACUUGAUUAAUAUGGCAGUAAUGAAGACCAGUAAGCAGUUGCUUCAUGUAGCACUGGAAAAGGAGUGUCGUCAAUAAACGAGCAGCGAAUAGAUAGUCAUCACAAUAAGAAAAGACAUAAUCUUUUCUUCUAGUUAGGCUUACGAUACUUUAAUCUGUGGAAUUGUGAAUCUCAACCCUGGUCGAUCAGCAAGGCCAGUCAAGUCAUGAUCCAUGUAUUCAAAAACCAUGUAGAUGUUUCCCUUGUACUUGUUACUAUCUAUUCCUGUAAGAAAAUCGAAAUUCAUGGAUGUUAAUUUCUGCAAACAUUGGGAAAGGAACUUCACUACCAAUAAGAAAAUUUUCUUAGCUGGAAUACCUAGCUUCUCUGGUUCAUCCUCUUCAGGACCUAGAUGAGAAAUUCAUAUCAGAACUGACAAUAAAAGUUCAAACUUUCCCAAAGUUCCAAAAUUUAUAGCAUCUAAGAAUUAAGAAACAAAGUACCUUGAGAGGUUACUAUCUCUAACAGCUUAAUGACAUUUUCAUGCUGCAAUUUCUUUAGAAUUUUAAUCUCACGGAUGGCUGUUAUAGGGAACUGCAGAAAUAAGUAUAAAGUACCAGGUAAUCAGUUUUAGCCCAGCAAUGCAAUAGUCAAAAUAAGCUCCAAUAUUUAAAUUAAAUGGUAUAAAUACAAAUCUAAAACAGCAUGAAGAUUGGGGAAAAGAACAGUACCCCCUCCUUCUCAUUGUCCAUACGUAUCUUUUUCAAAGCAACAAUCUCCCCAGUUUGUUUAUCUCUGGCCAUGUACACUUGCCUGGAAAAGAGCAUCAGAGCCAAUCAUGCUAAGCAUACAAACAAUGAAGCAAUACUAUUGAAAUAUCAACAAAUGCAAAGUUGGCUGAGUCAUCUCUAAAUUGAAUCAAUGUCAUCUAUAGUCACCAAUUACAAUAGUUGCAAUGUGAAUCCCAAGUGAUAGUGUCAAUUGCAUCCUUAUUGAAUGACUUUGGCCCGUUCUUAAUCAGUCAGUUAGAUUUUUAUCAACAAAAAGUAGCCAAGCACCAAAGCUAGUGCUGGGACAUUACAAAUUAAGAAGCCCCCUAUACAAAAACUAAAAGAAAUUGCUCACCAAUACAAAAAGUACUCCUGCAGUGAGUCGAUAAAAUCUAUCAUGCAAUUUUCAUCAAUGCUAGCAAACCUAAACAUCUGUAUAUUAUUAUCUGAGUUGAGUGAGUUCUGCCCUCAGAACACCUUAAGUUCCUCUCUAUCGACCGUACCCAACAGACACACUCGGAUACUCCUACAUAAUAAGAGAUCUAUGAAGCCUUCCCCCAACUAUCCAAAAAUUGUCUGAUCAACUGUCACACUAUCCAAUGCUGCCCAAGAAUGUUGAUGAACAGGUCCCACAACUGCCUUGCAGGAGCUGGGCCAGGAAAAAUCAACUUAACACUUAUAAAGUUCACCAUAAUUCAACAACUAUGGUUGGUAUGCAAGGAUUGACUCUUGGAUUAUUCCGGGGAAAACCUUCAACUGGGGGUUUCAUAAAAAAAAACAAGGAUACCUCCAACAAUUGUUUUGGGACGCGAGAGGCGACAAAAAGCGACGAGGCUCCCUUCACUGAGGCGAGGAGGGAACAACAACAACAAACCCAGUGUAAUCCCACAAGUGGGUCUGGGAAGGGUAAAAUGAGGCGAGAAGUGAAGCGCCAGUAAAUACAAACUAAUUAAAAUAAUAAAUAUGUAUAUAUAAAUAACUAAAAAUUCAGUAACAUAUCAAACAAAACUAAUUAGGUUAUUAACUAUUAUGCAACUAAAACUGAGAAGAAAAAAGCUGAGUAAAAAAAUGCAGAAACAGUGGACAAACAAAGAAAGAAAGAAGCUGCCAGAAAACAGAGGAGAAAAAAGAAAGAAGAAAGAAGAAGAAAGAAGUAGAAAGAAGAAGAGGAAAAUAGAAAAAGUACAUGAACCCUAGCUUCAACUCACCUCGUCUUGACCGUAAAACAGAGAAAGAAUAAGAGAGAAGCUGUGCAGGGGUAGUCUGGUUUUGACCAAAAGAUCCUAGUUCUCAAGUUGCGAUUAAAAGCUAUGCUUUGACUCGCCGUCUCAUCUCCCCUUUUCAGAUUGCUCCUCGCCCCAGGGGAAAAAAGGUGAUAAUUGUCUGCUUCGCCUCAACAAAUUAAAUUCAUAUAAAUCUAAUGUUGUUCGGUCUUAGACUCUUAAUCUAUUAUUAUUAUCCAUAUUAAAGCCUCAAAGAAUAUUUCUAGGGAUUGAAAUGAUAUGUUUUCUCUUCAAAACAAAAAUAGUGCAAGUUCUUCAGACAAAGACAAUUAUUUUUUCAUUGUUACAAAGUCAACAUUACUUUCCUAAAACCAAAUUCAGACAGGAAAAAGUCAAAAACCAAAACAAAACUAGAACAUUUCAAAACCGAAAUGGCACCAUUACAGAGGGCUGUGUAGAUAAUUGAAGAUGGGAGUACGGUCUCCCCACCCCCCACCCAACAAGUUAUGUCUUCAUGAAGGGUAACAUGGGGAUGUAGCUUCCAAAAAGGAAAGGUGUCAUUCUUUUUGGGACAAACAAAAAAGAAGAGUGAGUUAUGUAAUUGGAAUACUUAUUUCUACUUAUCAUUACUGGUGUAGAGAGAGUAGAUCAUUUCUAUGAAGCGAAGCGAGGGUUCAGAGCUUCAGCUGGCAUGAAAAUAUGGGGAAGAAAGUUAGUGAGACCAAUAGGACAACAAUUGUAUGUCUGUUUUGAGACAAGACAACUAAAGGGGAACCUUUUUUAGUUUUUAAUAUGAUUUUUUUGCUUAUAAUUGUCUGUAUUUAUUUUGGUCUUUUUUCUUUUAAAUUGUGCUUCGCUUCAAUGAAGCGAGCGCUUCGCUUAAAGCGUGAAGCGGGACCUUGUCGCUUUUUACUGCUCUGCACUCCCCUAAACACUGCUCUUACCACCACUCACUUAAAGUGUAACAAGUGGAACUAUCACCACCACAUAUUUAAAAGAGGAUUUCGGUACUUAGCAACAUUUGACCUACAUGUCACAAAACACCUAAACAUAAAACAGGCAGGAGCGAGUAAUAACUGACAAUAUCCUCGAAGCUCUUAUGUGAAAUAUCAUAAACAAUAAAAAGAAUCAAAAAAAAUGUUAUCACAACCAAUAAAAUGGGAAACAACCAAGUAUAAUGGCAAAACAUUUCUAAAGGGCUGACUCCAGCUCAACAAGAAUGUGCACUAAAAGUCUCAUGCCUACUCUACAUUCCAAAGUAUACUCAUACAUCAGAUCCUUCCAGAAUAUAUCAAUGGCCACACAUACAACUCUAUAAACUAUUUAGCAAUGUAUCAAAAGUCUAUUGCUUCCCACAAGAAAUAGAUCAUUCUUGAUUCCGAACCCCAGGAAUAGCCAACUUGUACUGGAAUUACAGGAGGUGAUCAACUAUCACCAGAAUGCAGAUCAAAGUUCUUCAUGUAAACAGCAGCUAAUUUUUCACUAGAGAUGGAAACUUUUCCAGCCUUCGAAUAUUGAGGCUUCCAAAUGCAUUUUCAAAAUUUACAAAGAGCUUUUGGCUGAAAUCUUGGAAUUGAUUUAAUCAGAUAUUAAUAGACUAUAGUUAGAAAAUACCUCUACAUGCACCACCUAUCCGUGCUCCCAGCAUCCCCUUCAUCGGUCCAAUAAAACUAGAACUAAUUACUAACUCUUUGCAUAGUUACAUUGGAAAUAUAAUCCUUGUCAAUAUUACACUAACUGGAAUAUGAGCACCGGCUUGCCUACAACAACAACAUACCCAGUGUUAUCCCACAAGUGGGGUCUGAGGAGGGUAGGGUGUACGCAAACCUUACCCCUACCGCCUACCAGAUUUGCCUAUAGAGCCAACAUAGACAAUCGAUACAAUGGCAGUCUUCUCUUCAUUUCUUUUUAUUACAGGCAAAUUACCAAAUAUCUUCUUCUAUUUGACUCGAUUGUGCAACAACAACAACAUACCCAGUGUAAUCCCACAAGUGGGGUUUGCAGAGGAUAAAGUAUACACACACCUUACCCAUACCUCAUAGUGAUAGAGGCUGUUUUAGACAGACCCCGACACAAGUAAAGCAUCUCAAAGCAGUUAAAUUUGACUUAAUUGUGCAAGCAAAGCAUCUCAAAGCAGUUAAAUUUGACUCAACUGUGCGAGCCAGAGAAACUCCAACAAAAAAGAUCCUUGUUCAAAACCCAAAAUCAUGCCAAUGUAAGAACUGAAUCAACUAAAUUGAUUUUCAUAAUGGUCAGAAUGAUACACAACAACUCAAAAGAACAAAACGCAAUCCUAAAUAAUAUUUUUAAGUCAAAAAUACAAAGGUCUAUCUAUCCCCAAUGGCUUUUUCUCAAUGGCCUCACAGAUUCAGUUUCAAAAGAAAAAAAAAAGGCUUCACAUAGCCUUCCCCAAAACUCAAUAACAUCAGAUCAUGAAGUAAUGGCAUUACAGCAAACUAAGACAAAACUACAAUAAAAUAUCCCCCAACCCCACCCGGGGUCCUACAUCCAAGUUCUUAAUUACCCAGAAAGAGUACAACUGCAAAAUACAAAGAGUAAAAUCAACAACACAAAUGUACCAAAAGCUUCUAAUUUCUUGAUUCAAUGAGGUAAAAAAAGCAACCCAUCAACCUUCAUGUUAUUAAACCAAGGGAACCCAUCCUUAACUAUCCAAAUAAGAGGCAAAAUAGAGGAUAAAAGGAAUUUUACUAUCUGGGGAGGAAAAAAAACUGACCCAUAAGUUCCUUCACCGAUUUGUUCAAGCUUUUCAAAGCAUUCGAUACUUCGAGAACCCCAUAGUGGCGAUUCAUCAAGAUUCAACUGACCAAAAGCAGCCACCGCCAUGUUUGUACCUAUCUCUCUUCCUCUGUGUGAAGAAGAACGAUUGAUGUAGGGUUGUAUAGAGUUGAUAGAGAGAAAGAAAGUUCAAUUCAAAAACCACAAGAGAGGAACGCUGUGGAGGCGGCUUCGGAUUACUUUGUAUGGAGUUGUGGGUUUUUCCACUAAACAAAUGGCCUUGUUUGUGCCUAAUACAACUUACCAAGGGCUUUUUUGCUAAUUCUUAAGUUAUUUCAUAACGUAUUAUACUGUUGUCGUAUUAUAUCAUAUUGUAUUAUUUUGAUCAACAUAAUGUUUGAAGUGAUAAGACUAUUCAAAUUUUAAUAUUCGUGAAGAGAGAAUUGUAAUAAUGUAAAGAAGAUGUAUAUUCUUCGUCGUUACAAAAUGUGAAACAUCAAUAAUUUGAAGGAUAUUCAUCGUUACAUAGUGUCACGCAUUAAUAAUUUGAAGGAUAAACCUACCAGCAAAGUAAGAUACGUGAUAAUAAUAAGUAAAGACAAAAUGAGAAGAAAAAAUAAGAUAAUAAUGUGAUCACACUAACUUAAUCAUUCCACUAAAUCUUUUUUUUAAUCGUUACAUAAUGAUAUGAUACAAUAAAAUUAAGUACUAAUUAGAACAGAUAAUGUAUUUAAACUAACUUAAUAGUAUAACAUAAUGGGUGAUAACCGUUCAAAUGAAGUGUUAGAGUAUUCGCCUAAAUCCAUUAAUAUAAUUUUAUUUGUAAAUUACAUAAAUAUUGAAGUAUUAAAUAAUAUUAGUAUAGUAUUCACGCGAUAGGCGGAAAAUAUAUAUAUAAGAAAAAAAGUAUUAAAAUAUUAUCUUAUUUGCUUAACCACCUUAUUUAUUUACUAUCGGAUUAAUUAUUAGUUCAAAUUAUUUGAUGCAUAACCCAUAAGAAGGCCAUUAAAGAGAGAGAAAUCUAACUAAAAUUAUCAUAAAAUAUUGUGUUAUGUAUGAUAAGAUUUAAAUAUAACUCAACUUACUAUCGUAACAAAAGUGCAUGUAUAAUGAUAUAUAAUGUAUUGAAUCAUAAUUUUAUAUAAACACUUGACGAUAAUACAUAUAUAUAUAUAUACAUACAUAUAUAUUCGAUGAAAAACCUUUAUUCAAUAAAGAAAGGGUAAGCACCGAAAGACAUGAAUGAUCAAAGAGAGGCCUCAAUUGACGCUAAUAAAGCCAAAUUGCAUAAUUUUUGCUUUUUCGCCGCCCACCCUUUUUCAAUACCAUUUUGCUCAUCAACAUUUCUAUUUGUUUUGUCGUUUAAAUCGAAUUUCUUAUUUGGAAUUUCUUUUUCUUUUUCUUUUCUUUUCACUGGAAAUCGACUCAUAUAUCAAUCUACGUGUCUUCCCUCGUAAAGGAAGUAGUUAUGGGAAACUUUAUCCCUAAAGGCAAUGGCUAGGUAGGGAUCUCUUGGAUAAUAAUAUGAUAUAUAUUUCGCUAAGGAGGUAGGGCUCAGGCUUGUCUGCAGUAGGACGUAUUGGGUAUUUUAAGGUAGACCAAAUAUAUAUAUAUAUAUAAAGACCCAACGAUCAAUUAAAUUACGGAGAAGGGCCUAAAAUACCCCUCAAGUAUUUGAAUUGGUACAAAAUUACCCUCCAUCCACAUAUCGGCCCUAAAAUACCCCUGACGUCCACCUUUAGGCUCAAAAAUACCCUUAUGUCUAAUGGAUCAUACUCAUUAGGUGGAUGGAGGGUAAUAUCGUACCAAAUCUCAUAGUUUAAGGGCAUUUUAGGCCUUUUUCCGUUAAAAUAAUUUGAAAUUACUUAAUAUAUAAGCUCACACGAUUGACUUGAUUUUGAUUUUGAUUUUCAUAGUAAAUUUAAAAUUAUAAAAAGGUUAGGGAACUACUCUCUACACUACUCCCUCCCCGGCCCUUCAUUUCAUAUCUCUUCCAUUUUUUUCUAUUUGAAUCUUGUCCACCAUUUUAAUUUUUUUUAAUUUAUGACAAACAAGAGAAAAAAAAAGGAGGAAAAUAACGAUGCAUUCACAGAAAUAAAUAGUUCAAUAAAAGAUGACUUAAUUAGGCAAAUAUGUACAAAUAUUACAUUUUUCUUUUGUGUGUGCCCAAAAUUAAUAAUAAAAAUAAUUAUUUCUCUUAUCCCCACCAUCAUCCCAUCAUGACAAUAAUACUAAUUAAAAGAAUAUAAAUAUGUGAGUUUAUUCCAAGUUUGAGUCCCGGAUAUCCUAAUUAAGAAUAAGAGAUUACAAAAAGGAAUAAAAGAGAAAAUGAACAAGGCAUUUGGAUACUUGAGAGAAAAUUUUAUAGUAAUGAAAAUGAUAAUUUUUUUAGUUGGACAAUCAGUCGGGGUAAGUAUGGAUUUUAGUUGGAUCCCCAUUUAUGAGUUGGGUUAUGUUAUAAUAAAUUGGGGUCGAUUUAAAUAGGCCAAUAGAAAGAUAUCAUGAAAUUAAUUAUUUUUCAAUAUUAUUUUCAAGUGUAUUGGGUCAAAAUAUGAAUCAUAAGUGAUUUUAUAGAAAAAUUGAAUUUUUAAAAAUGUCAUUUUUAUUAUUUAUUUGAGAAUUUAAAUUUGGACCAAUCACAUUAAGCAAUAUAAUAAAUAAAUAUUUAAUAAUUUACUUUAAGGGAGGCGAGAGCUAAUUAAAAAUAAGGGCAAAUAUGAGUCAAAGGAUUAACAUCGAAGGUAGUUUUGAGCCGAAAGGUGAACGUCAGGGGUAUUUUAGGGCCGAUAGGUGGAUGGAGGGUAAUUUUGUACCAAUUCAAAUACUUGAGGGGCAUUUUAGACCCUUUUCCGUUUAAUUUAAGUGUUACUUUUGUCUCUCUUAUCCCUCCAAAGAAAUAAUACAUUAAAUCCUUAAACAUAUGUUUGUUGAAACAAUGAAUUAAGCACAAAUCACAUCUUUAACAAUAUCGUUCUUAUCGCAGUCUUAAUUGUAUAAGAUAGUAUAAUUAAAGAAUAAUUAUAUUUUAAAAAAACUCAAAUAUUACUCUUAUCAAGUAAGUCACCUGAAUAAACUAUUAAACACCUUUUAGGGUAUGUUUGGAAAGCCACCAGGUAAUUGGAACUAGUGUAAUUACUAGGGUAGUAAUUACAAUCCUAGUAAUUACACAACCUAGUAAUUAUAUUGGCAUGUUUGUUUACCAUAUUGUAAUUAUCAAUGCACUGUUUGGUUGCACAAUUGUAAUCAUAAGGUUAUAUUGAAUUUUAAAAAUAAAAAUCAAUUGUCUAAAACUAAAAAAUUAUAUUAGACAAUAAGGGCCUUUAUAAAUGAUAUUAAAUUGAAUAUUUAAGAUAUAUAUUGUCUUUUAAAAAUAUAUUAAUUAAUAAACAUAUGUUCUUAAUUAAUAUUAUAAAAAAUAAUUGGAUUGUAUUUUUCAAUUUAGUAUAUUUUAAUUAAAUUAAUCAUAAAAACUAAAAGCACAAAAUUUCUAUGAACAUCAUGAAAUGCAUGUUUGACAAAAAGAUUAAUAUUAUAAAUAUAAUGUCAUAAAAUUAUAAAAACAUUUGAAAAACAGAUAAUCUAUCAAGUCUAACUAAAAAAUAGCUUGCAAUGUAAAAUAUCCCGUCAAUUCUUCUAAAAUAAAUGAAAUUGAAAAUAUAAGUUCUAAAAUCAGAACAAAAAAUUUAACAUUAUACUCUUAUGUCAAGUUUCAACAUAACAUACAUAAAUAUGAUUUAAAAGAAAAAGAAAAAAUAUGUAUAUAACCUUAUUCAACAAUGAAUUCUACUUUAAUUUAAAAAUUAUAAUACUAGCAAAAUUAUACUAAUGAAAAAUAUAUAUUAAAAAUAGAUAAUACGAAUUUUUUUUGCAUGGAAUCACAUGUAAAGGUUGAUAAUGAGAAGGAAAUGAAAUAUAAAUAAUAUAAAAUAAACAAUAUUUUUUAGAAAACAUUAGAAUAAUAAAAAUAAAAAAGAAUUUACAAUAAUUAAAAUAAUAAAUAAAUUAUAACGAAAAAAUAAAAAAACUAAAAGGAAGAAAUUAAAAAAUAAUCAACUUGGAAUUACCAACAAUUCACAGCAUCUCCCUCUGAAUUUGUAUAUAUUUAUUUUAAUAAUAAAUGUUAAUGUAACACCCCAAAAAUUUCUAACCUAAGAUCCGAACCAUUUUUUAUUGGUGUAUAAGGUCGUAUCGGGUGAUUCUUAAAUUGUUCUUAGGUGUCAAGGCCAAUUAUUUUGUGUGGAAAUGGAUUUAGAUAUGAAUUAAGGUCACUAGAAUUGCCUAGCACAAAGUUGAGUUGAAAGCUUCCUUACCGAUUAAGCUUUGAUAUAAGAUUCUACUUAGGUCAACAUAAUGAAUUAGGUGAUCCGUGACCUAUCAAAUCAAAGGUCUAUGAGUCUUCUUUCCAACGCCACCAAGUAUACCUCAUUUCAAGUUCGGAGUAAAACGUAGUGACCGUUUUACCAGAGAUUGCUGCAUCAUAAUUUUAAGAGUCAGUGACCUACGGACUUGAUCUACGAGUCGUAGAAAGAGGUACGACCCGUACUGGUCACUCAUGAAAAAAAAAUGAAAGUCACUUUUUAGGUCCAAUUCUUAGGGUCGUAGAAACUUCUAUGGGUCAAAGUUUGAGCCCAUAGAAUGAACUUUUUAGCCUUAGAAUAUCAAUAUGAAUUCCACGAAUUUGAUCUACGGUCCAUAGAUCAAACUACGAUCCAUAGAUGGCCCUGUGGAAGGUUUUCGACAACUUUUUAAGUGAGAUUUUUUUUUGUCUUUUCCCACUUUUUCUAAGCCCAAGCCAUGACGUUUCAACUUCAAUUAGGGAAAUAUAUUUCACCAAGUACUCAAUUUUCUUUUAAUUCUAGGCUCUCAACUCCCCAACUCAAAAAGAAAAUCGCAAAAAAGACAAAAGGUAGGGUUUCAAGGCUUCCAAUCAAGUUCUUCUUAAAACUUCUUCAAGAACUUUGUUCUUCCAGGUAUGUAAGGCUUCAAUGAGAGUAUUCAUUUCACUCUCAUGUCUAAAGUAUUUUGAUUAUAUGAUGAAUUAUGUUUAAAUCUAGGGUUCUACUUCAGACUUCUUCAAGAACUUUGUUCCUCCAAGUAUGUAAGGCUUCAAUGAGAGUAUUCCUUUCACUCUCAUGCCUAGAGUAUUUUGAUUAUAUGAUGAAUUAUGUUAAAAUCUAGGGUUCUACCCAAUCUUCUUCAAGCUAUGAUUUUAUGCAAAAUAGAGUUUUUAUGAAAGAUUUCUCAUGCAUAUCAAUGAAUUACUAUGAACUACAUGUUUUAUUAUAUGAUUUUGAUUCUCUAAGCAUGUGUCAAAAUUAUUUAUGAAAGCUACUUUUGAGUAUUUACAUAUUAGACAUGAUUUCAAUUAAAUUGCCUCAUGUUUAAAGUCAUAUGUAUAAAAGUAAAGAUAUGUCUAUAAAAGAUAUACUUAAGCACUGCCUCAAAGCACUACAAUUCAUGAUUAGUAUCACGGUUGGGUAUGUCAUCAAUGUUUAAGCAGUAUGACAUCUAGAUAUGUCAUCAAUGCUGUCACGAUCCAGACCGUCGUGAUUGGCACCCAGACUAAUUCUCCGGUGGGAGAACCACUACUACAACCCAGACUAAGCAACUUAACCAAAAACUAAGACAUUUAAAGAUACAGAAGCAGGUUUAAAUGCUAAGGAAAAGAAAUAUGGAGUUCCAUAAACUCCAAAUCAAAAGUCUAAUAAAAACAAAUGCGGAAUAACACCUAGAAUCUGAAAGUCAAUGUACCAAAACAUCUAAAUUUCAACCAUAAAUCUAAACUGGAAGGGGUACAACCCCAAACUAACAUAGGAAUAACUAGCUAGAAAAUCUAAGUCCGUAAAUGUGGACUUAAACAAAAAGAGAACUCAUGGCAGCCCGGAAGAACUAGCUCACCCUUGAGUUCGAAAUGGUCACUGAUCUUCUAAAUGAGGUAUGUCAAUAGCCACUGGAAGAUGCACUGUACUCAACAAAGAAAGAGCAAGUGCAGUAUCAGUACACAACCACAGUGUACUGGUAGGAUCACGCGGUUAUCCCACUAAGUGCAACAUACAUAAGCCAUUACAACAUAAUAAUAACAUGCAUACACCGAACAUAUACAAUAUCAACAUCACUUAAGAACAACAGAGCAUUUCACAAUUUUCAAGAUAUACAAUUAUGUAAAGUCAAUGGUCUUCUCAUGGAACCCAAACCCAAACUGUUAGUGUACCGGUUCGUGGUACCUAAUCUAAUAUUUAUGUCGGAACGUGGCAACUGAUUCCAUAUUUAUGUCGAAACGUGGCAACCGAUCCAAGUUAGUGUGUCGAAACGCAACACUCAAUCCAUUCAACAAGCCACAAUCACAAGUAUUUUCUCAUAAUCAUACAAUCAAGUCAUGAUUUCAUGGCAAACAAUUAUUCAAUCAUCCUCAUUUAUGAAUAGUGUGAUCAAUAAUGCAACAUUCGCAUACAUACAAAUACUAUAAUGAAGCAAGAACAAACAUACCUCACACAACAUGAAAUCACAACCAUCACCUAACAAGCUUGAAUUCCCUAAGAAACUUGAUUCUUCCCUUUUCCGGAUUCGUUCCACUUGUUCUUGGUCUACAAACAAUUAAUUUAACACGGAAAUCAAUAAACAAUAACUAAUUACCCGAAUUACUAACACGUCUAUCAACCUUAGAUCAUACUCAUGAUCCCCAUACCCAGAUUAGGGAUUUCUCUACCAUUAUUUCCAUAUCAAAACCCUUUCCCAUUGAUAAUUACCCGCUAGAUUAAGUUCUACGAAUUGAAAAACAGAUUCGGGGAGUUAAAAUCUUACUUUUAGUCUCGAAAAUGGUGGAAAACUGUUAAGAAAACCCUUGGGCUCGUUCCUUAGCUCUCAAGUUCAAAAAUUGCAGAAUAAAACGUUUUUGGGGUUUAUUUCCAACUUUAAGUCGCGUCUGCCCUGCCAUGGCGGCACUCACCCCGCUACAGCGUCCCCGCCCUGGCGACAGAAAUCCCGCCUCAGCGGCUUGCCUAGAAACAGUGAGCAAAAUUAAUAAUUUCAAGACCUCAUUUCACAACACACCUUCAACCAACGACACUUAGAAACUAUCCGUUCACGCUAAGAUCAAUUUUGGGAGUUCUACACGCUCGAAUUAAAUUCCGUAAAGUCGUAUGGGUUCCUUAACGUCUUAGCUAUCUACUCAUGUGAUCGAAUUCAUAAUUAGAUCACCCAAUUGCUACCAGAUUUUCCUAGACCUCACAGACUCCGAUUUCGUCCAAUCUUGACUAGGUUGAGAAAUCUCAAGUUACUAUGAAAAAGUUUUUCGGCCCAAAAAUUUUCCCCAUUGGCUUUUCUAUAAUAACGGGAACAGGUCGUUACAAAUAUUUAUGCAGUAUGACUUCCCGAGUCAUCAAUUAUCACAUCAUAAUAUGAUUUCAGAUAUAAUUUUCAUGAUUACAAUCUAAAUACAUGUUAUUUCAACAGUUUUAAGGGACGUAAAUGAUCCCAAAUAUAUUAUUUUUACAUUGAAAAAGAGAGUACUAUUUUUCAGAAAAUAAAUAAAUAAAGAAUUUUCAAACAGAUUUAGUACAGUUCAAUUACCUCUUGAAGAGACCUUUUUCAAGUAAUCAUCUCAACCUAGUGAGUAUUUUACAUGAGCAUACAAUUAUAUGUUUUGGAAGUAGUAUUGAGCACCGAUUUGAGUGAGAGUUCAGAUAACUCAUAACCCCAUAAACCACAUAGGUAGCAUGAGAUUGGAUCGUAAUGACAUUCGGGUGACUCCUCACCACCUCUAAGAAGGCCUAUUAGUUGGAUCCAUGAGUUAAAGUUAUGUCUCAUACCCGACAAGGUGUAGGGCGGCUCUGGCAAUGUUGUAUCAUCACGAGGCUCAUAGUGAUGGUUGUCGGUUAGAGAAACUUCCUAGUAAAGUAAAAUAUAUAUUUAUUUAUAUAUUUUAGUUCAAUAUUUACUAUUGCAUUCUUAAAGUAAGAGGCUAAAUGAUUUCCAACGCAUUUUAUAAUAUACUUCAGUUGAGUUACUUUCAGUUUUUCAGUUCAACUAUUACAUACUCGUACAUUUAAUGUACUGAUGUCAUUCGAUCUGCACCAUUUCAUGAUGCAAAUUCAAGUACUUAGGGUUGUCAACAGGAGUUCCAUUGAGAUCACAUCAUCCGCUCGUCAGCUUUUGGUGAGACCUAUUUGCUUUCUGAGGACUCCAUUUUUAUGAUUUGUUAGUAGUAGCGUUUUGAGGUGUCGUGAGUCUUGUUCCGACACCUAUCUUUAUAUAUAGAGACUUCAUAGAUAGACAGUUUUGGUCAGUCUUGCAGUAUUCAGUUUCAGAUGUUUUAUUUAAAACUUUAUGUUUAAUACUCAAUAUAUUCAAAUAGCUUUGAGAUUUUAUAAACUAUUUUUAAAUGAUUAUUCAGUUCUAAUGCUUGUGUAUGCUUGUGUAUGCUUGAGUUAGUUUUCCGCUUAGUAGUCAUUAAGGACAAGGGUUCGCUUGGGGACCAACAAUGGUUCUCGAGUGCCGGCCACGUCCAGGGUGCAGGCUCGAGGUGUGACAAUUAAUUCAAGUGUAUAACAUUGUUUAGAAGAAGAAAAAAAAUUUAAUCAAAAGUAACAAUAAAAUUAUUUUUUAACCAAGAUAUUGAUGUCAAAGAUAUUUUUGAAAAAAAUUAUUAAUAAACAUCUAAUUUAUUCAACUUUUUGUAGUUUAAACUCAACCCAUGUAAUGUUGUUUUACAAUUUGAAGACUAUAACGGUAAGAAACAUGUAAUAAAAGUGUAGCUAAACUCAAAUAUAUUACACUAAGAUUUUGAUAAUAAAAUUGAAACAACAUUUUAGGUUACCAUUAAGACUACACAUUGAAUUUGAAUAAACACUAAGGAGUCGUUUGGUAGAGUGUAUUAACAAAAAUAAUAUAUGUAUUAACUUAUGUAUUAGUAGUCCUUUGUUUGGUAUACUUUUCCAUGCUAUGUUAGUUCUACACUCUAUUGUGCAUUGAUGAGUGUAUUACAUCAAAUUACCCCUCAAAAACACUUUUACAUCUAUUUCACCAUAUUUGUGGAGGAUAUUUUUGUAAAUAAUUUUUUUAUAUAAUGCAUACUAUUUUUAAUAUACCAAACCAAACAAUGCAUAAGAAAUAAUCUAUGCAUAACUAAUACAAGUUUUACUAAUACACUCUAUUGUGCAUUAUUUUCAAGGGCGGCUCAACAUAAUUCGAGGCCUAAAGCAAAAUUUUAAUUAGAGGCCUAAAAUUUAAAUAAAUUUUAUCUGUAUUUAUUUAUUUUUCUAAAUUUUUAGAUGUAAAUUAUUACUUAAUAUCUUUUUUAUAAAUGAUUUUUUCAAAUGCUUUCUUAAAUUAUUAUUUUUAAACAUGAUUUUAUCAUUUCAACAUUGAAAAACAUCAUUAUUGAGACAAUUAUUAUAUGAAUCGAUAAUAUAGUUCUAUAAGUAAUAAGUUGAUAAAUUUUAAAUGAAGAUAAGAGUUAGAAUCAUAGAAUCUAAUUCAAAAAGUUGAUAACUUGGUAUACCCUACUUUAAUAUGAAAAGUUAUGAAGAAAUAAGAGAAUAUUUGUAAUUUACUUUGUUCAACACUUUUCAGCUAUUGAUUCAUAUUUUUGACAGAAUAUUACUCUAACUAUCAAAGAUUUGAAGAAAUAGAGUGCAGAAGGAGUUAAAAAGGAUAAAUAAUGUGAGUGUUAGCGAAAAAAAUAUAAUAUAUAUAUAUAUAUAAAUGUACUUUUUAUUAUAAUAAAAAAAAAUUCAUGAAAAAAUUAAACAUGAUUUUUUAUUUAUAAAAAUUUGAGGCAUUGGCCUAAAAAUUUAUAGGCAAGAGCCGGCACUGAUUAUUUUUAUACAUUCUACCAAAUGACUUCUAACAUUAUUUUCAUAUUGAAUUUGUAAAAAGGACAGACUAAUUAUUUUGACUCCUUUUAAAGAAGACUAAUAUUAGCAUAAUGCAUAAAUAAUAAUGGUCUCCCUUCAGCCUAUGAACACUCAUGAUUAGGAGUGUUCAUGGUUCGAUUUGGAUUGGUUAUUGGUUAAAAUUAAAAUCAACUAAUUUAAUCGAUUUUUAAAAUUUUAAAACCAAACCGAACAAACAAACAAAAAAAUAACUGUAUAUUUGGUUGUUGUCGGUUUGGUUCGGGUUAUUUAUUUAUUUUUUCAAUUUGAAAGUAAUAAAUUAAAUUUUUCGAGAGUAUAAUACACAUCUCGAUAGACAUAGUGAACAAUCCACAAGAAAAUUAAUGUGGAUUCAAUUAAGCAAUACUAGAGUUAUUAUUACACGAAUAAAGUGAUUCAAUUAAGAGAAAGUGUGACUAUCUAAUGUGACGUAAGGCAGAUAAAGAUUAAAGUAAUAGUUUUUGAUGGGCUUGGUCUUAGGGUUUUAAUAGUAGAGCUUGAGAAAAUGGUAAAGCAAAAACUAAAGGUAAUUAAAAAUUUAACAAAAUAUUUAUAUUUUAUUUAUGAAUAAUAUAUAAAUAAAUAUAAAGAUUAUAUAUAUAAUUUUUCGGUUUGAUUCUGUUGUUUUUGCAUUUUUUAAAGUAAAAUCAAAAUCAAACCAAAUAAUAUUGGUUAUCAAAAUUUAAAAUCAAACCUAACAAAACCACACCAAAUAUUAAUUUUUGUAAUCAAUUUAAUUCAGAUUGCAAUUCAGUUUGAUUUUUUAACCAUGAAUAACCUACUCAUGAUCUCAUACCACAUUGCAUAAAUUAUGUCCGUCCUAUAAAAUAUGCAUAAACUUACACACACCUUUACAAAUAUGCAUAAUACUCGAUUCCAUAUUUUAGUACUAUAUUGAGAUAGUUUAAUUAAUCUUAACUUUUACAUACACCUUUACAAAUAUACAUUCUCCUUAAAAACAAUUGUUCAAAAUGAACUUCAAACAUGCCAAAAUAUGUUUGAAACUAACAAAUGAACAUGUCAAAAUUUAGAUAAGAUACUUGUUAAUUUAAUUAAGAGUUUAUUAUAAGUCAAUAAGGUGAAUAUAUUAUAUACAUUUGAAGAAAGUAAACAAGUGCACAGACUUCUUAACAAAUAAAGGUCACAAACAAUUUUUUUUAAAAUGCUUGUAUGAAAAAUGCAAUCAAGAAAAUGAAAUUUUGGCUUCCAGACAAAUUUAAGCAUCGUAGCUUAUGAAAGAUUUUAGGACUGUUUAAUAUUUUAUUCUUAAAAAAAAGUGGCAAUUUAUGAUUGGAUCAUAAAUAAGUUCAAGCAAAUGAUUUGUAACUAUUAUCAUAUGUAAAAAAAAUUAUUUCUUCCAACCAAAAAUUAAUAUACUAGAAUUGGAAUGGCGUUCCUCACUUGACUAUUUUGUGAUAAUAAUUGUAUAUACACCGUCUUUUAAAAGAAAAAAAACUUGUCUAUUUUAUAAUAAUAAUAAUGACUAUUUUAUUUUUAUGUAUUAAAUUAAGAGUAUUAUUACUAUAUAGAAGCAUGAUGACGACCAGACGACCAGGGCUAUUUUGGUAAUUUCACCACUAUUCUAGAACUAUCAGGCCAUGGAUGGCUAAUGUUAAAAUGGUAAUUUCAGAAAUAUUGAAGAACCAAUUAGACAUGAGAAGGAUAGGAAGACCAAGGGCAAACUUGUAAAUAUAAUUAUUAUUCAAGGAUAAAAUAAUAAUAAUAUCAAAGGACUGAUUUUUACUUGUAAUUCCUUUCGGUUCUAGAUCGUUUCAUUAUCUCUUUCCUUCUGUCUCUUCCAGUUUAAAAGAGAGAAUGAGACUGUAUGAUUCUUCCACAUCAGGCAAAGAAGAGCACAAAAAUUGUAUUACAAUUGAUGAUUCUUUCACAUCGGUUAGUUCUUAAUCAUUUUUAUUUCGAAUUUUCUCUACUUAUUUCUUUAGGCUUUUAAAUUCUAAAUCGUGUCUCGCUUAAAAUUUUAGGGAAUUCUCUCAGUCCUAACAUGAAGCAAAGAACUUCAAUUAUGGAAAUCUUUGCUUUUUGGUAACAACUUCAUCAACCUACCACACCAGGAGAUUAAGAGCAUAAUGACUUAAUUGGUAUGAUCAUUCUUCUAAUUUUUAUUUUUGAGUUGUAGCAAGAUUUAAAAUUUAAUGGAGCAUGCGUAUGUGGUUUUUCUGUUGAAAGAUUUCUGAUGUCCACCAGGUGUUUGGAAAAAUGUCUUAGCUAGAAAAAAAUCUACUUUGUUCAGCCUACUCCUUUUAACUUUUGUAUAGACCUGUGAAUGUUUUUGCCAUUCUCCUCAACAGGAGGUGUGCUUAUGUGAUACAAAGAAACAAAUAAGUAAGACUUACAAUUGUGUGGUCUUAUUCUCCUCGGAAUCAACAGAUGCUUACAUCAGAAAAGGAACACUUAUAUCUUCUUAUUUUCUGCGGGUUUGAAUUACCUUACACUUUUCGUUUGUGUUUUUGAUUAAUAUAAUUUGUUGUUGUUUCAUGGUUGAUUACUCCAUCUGUUUCGUAGUAGGACCUUCACCUUACAAGUGCUCGAUAAAGACCUUCAACAACUUAAUUUUUUUGUUCUAUAAAUAUUUAAAAUUAUGGACUCAACUUUUCAAUACAAUAUUGAGAAACCCAAUCAACGUCAAUUCCACUUUUCUUACAAAACAACGAAAAAUCAUAGUUGUAGACUUGAGAUUUUGGCCAAUUGCUUACCCUUUGGUUAUUUAUCCAGAAAAUUAUACAUAUGUAGUGUAGUAAAUAUAUUUUCCUAUAGAACUUUUCCCUGCAUUAAAAUUAUGUCCUUUUUGCUUCUAAAAAUGACCCAGACAAAUUAUCUUUCCUACUAACCAUGGUAGACAAUCAUAACUCUGAUAUUUUAAGUUUCCAUGUGCCAUUUGUUGUGACCAAAAUGCGCAACUGGACAAGUUCUGCUUGCAAAUAUUUAGUUGUAACUUAGUUUAUUAAUUUCCUCCAAUAUCAGCUCUUCUUACAAUAUUAUUAUCAUGGAUGAACGUAGUAUUUCCAAAAUGGAAUAGAGGUAUACUAUCGACGCAAUUACGCCACUAACUACGAAGUGGACGUGCAAAAUAAUGUUUUUCCUUCUACGUUUUGUUGCUAUGCUAAAAAAAGAGAACUCUUAUUUUUAUAGGUGUGUGCACUUUCUGUUAUAUCUGUUACUAUAUGAAAAUGUAAAGUUGUGUUACUUCCAAAAUCAUAUUAAAUAAGGAAAGGAAAGUAAGAUAAGCCUUCGAAAAAGAACUUUUCAACUAAUCUUAACAAAAAUAAAAUAAAAUCGGAUACUCAUAGUCAAUGGAACUUUUAGAAUGUAUUGGCUGUUAAAAGUUCGAUACUCUUUCAUCUGUGAUAGUUCCAUGCCUUAGCCUCUUCAAAAAAAAAACAUUUCUCAUGCUUAUUAUCGGUUGAAUAUUUUUCAUAUUGAGAUUAUAUAUAUGUAGUACAUGGAGCAGCUACAAAAACUUAUAUUUUAUGACGAAAGUGUUUGCUUUGUAGCGUAUCCUCCUCCAAGAAUAUGAACUUGUAUAGCAUCAUCUCAUUAAUCACAUAUCCAAUUUGAUCUCCUUAGUGUGCCUCUUGCAACUGAAAAUAGUAAACUACCGCCAUAUUCAUAGGGAAUCAGUGUAGUCAAAUAUGUAGCAAAAGUAAACUCUUUCCAUGUAGUUUUUGACUUUUUUUUUUGUUCUUUUCUGGUGGAGAUCUUUGUCUGAUACUUAUUUUUACCUAAUUUAACAGGCUUAUAAAAUAAUAUCAUGUGGUUUUAUCUGCUUUCGCUUACGCCGUUGUCGAUUACGUUUCUCAUGUUUUCUGUUGGAUAUCUAUUAAGAUUGCGAGACUAUAUAUACAAGGACUAUCCUUAGUUGAUUAAUAUUCUUCACUUAAGUGGUCAGGCCCGUGCUAGAGAUUGAUUACUAGCCUAAGUUUAGAGUGCUUCCUCUGAAGAAGAGGACCAGAUUUUUACUGAGACAAUCUGAUUAAACGUUAGACUUCAAAUAAGAAAGCUUUAAAACUCUUAUAUGAAUCAUUUUGUAUGUAACAUUAGAAAAAAUGUUUCUACUUUAAGCUUUGACAUGAAAAUUCUUUGUUUGUUGAUUCUUGGUAGAGCGGUAAUGUAAACCCUUGAAAGUUAAACUUGUGAAAGAAACUGAUGGCUAAAGAUGGUAACAGAACUUCCAGUCACAAAGAUAAGCUCUCCUUUAUAGAAUGUAAAAGCUCCUAAAAUUUAUUUAAAUUUGGAAAGAUAUCUCCUACCAAAACUUAGCAUGCUAUUACUCAUUAAACUUUUUCGGAUUUAUAAAAAUAUCUUUUUAAACUUUGUUGUAACAUGCCUACUUGACUGUAGCUUCUCCCUUAAAUUAGCAAGUAGUUUUUUCUUUGUUUUGAAUUGUACUUGGUGUGAAUUAACCAGUAGCUACUGCUACUGAAGAUGAGAUGUUCCUACUUCUGUUCUUCAGAGUGAUGUUUGUUUGUCUUUCUACAUAGAUGUUGAGACGGAAUUAUGUUUCAAGGACCUUUUUUGUGGAAUCUGUAAUGUCCAAUUAAUUGAUCUAUUGCAUUCUGUUACAGAUAUAAGUCUAAAGAAGCAAUUGAGAUUUUAUAAGUGCAGGGCCCUCAAUUUUUUUAUUUUAAUAGUGGCUUGCCGACUAUUUGGCCUAUUAACCUUUUAACUAUUAAGUUGUGUCUAAUUUCAUUUUAGAGAUAGACCUAUUCUUCUUUACUUCAUCAAAAGAAGAGAUAUUAGUUACUUCGUGAAAGAUUUGAUCAUUCAUGAAUUGGCUUACUUAUAUUUUUCUUCAUUUUUUUAGGCAGUGGAACAGUUCUUUCAGCAUUACUCAGUCAAGAGGAGUCAUUUUGAAAUGGUGAAUAAGAUCAUGCAUGUAGUUUUGAGGCUGCAUGAGGAUACAACACAAGGGUGGCAAUAUUUUUGAAAGGUUUGAGGGCGGCAAGAUAAAUUUUAGAAUAACCAGUACCUUUGACAUCAAAAUUGAUGCUAAAUCACUUUUUGGUCCUUGAUUAACUCUUAUUCAUGUUAUGUUGAAUUUUCUACGAGGCGUUCAUGAUAAACUUCUAUUUUGGACAAGGGUCAAACCACACAGGUGUUCCAAUAAAGUCGCUUACCAUUAAUUGUUCUAUAACUAUGAACAUACAUAGAAAUGAAAAGAGAUGGAAGAAUUAUGAUUUAAAGGUACAGUUCUUUUGGUGCACUAUUUUUACUUGCAUG